RNAcentral lists this ribosomal RNA (1355 nucleotides) under uncultured bacterium. RNAcentral describes it as "bacterial SSU rRNA". It matches the Rfam family "Bacterial small subunit ribosomal RNA", at positions 28 to 1381 of the family's 1533-position model. The record is from RNAcentral.
AUUGAACGCUGGCGGCAGGCUUAACACAUGCAAGUCGAACGAUGACUAACUAGCUUGCUAGUUAUGAUUAGUGGCGGACGGGUGAGUAACAUUUAGGAAUCUGCCUAGUAGUGGGGGAUAGCUCGGGGAAACUCGAAUUAAUACCGCAUACGACCUACGGGUGAAAGGGGGCGCAAGCUCUUGCUAUUAGAUGAGCCUAAAUCAGAUUAGCUAGUUGGUGGGGUAAAGGCCCACCAAGGCGACGAUCUGUAACUGGUCUGAGAGGAUGAUCAGUCACACCGGAACUGAGACACGGUCCGGACUCCUACGGGAGGCAGCAGUGGGGAAUAUUGGACAAUGGGGGCAACCCUGAUCCAGCCAUGCCGCGUGUGUGAAGAAGGCCUUUUGGUUGUAAAGCACUUUAAGCAGGGAGGAGAGGCUAAUGGUUAAUACCCAUUAGAUUAGACGUUACCUGCAGAAUAAGCACCGGCUAACUCUGUGCCAGCAGCCGCGGUAAUACAGAGGGUGCGAGCGUUAAUCGGAAUUACUGGGCGUAAAGCGAGUGUAGGUGGCCCAUUAAGUCACAUGUGAAAUCCCCGGGCUUAACCUGGGAACUGCAUGUGAUACUGGUGGUGCUAGAAUAUGUGAGAGGGAAGUAGAAUUCCAGGUGUAGCGGUGAAAUGCGUAGAGAUCUGGAGGAAUACCGAUGGCGAAGGCAGCUUCCUGGCAUAAUAUUGACACUGAGAUUCGAAAGCGUGGGUAGCAAACAGGAUUAGAUACCCUGGUAGUCCACGCCGUAAACGAUGUCUACUAGCCGUUGGGGUCCUUGAGACUUUAGUGGCGCAGUUAACGCGAUAAGUAGACCGCCUGGGGAGUACGGCCGCAAGGUUAAAACUCAAAUGAAUUGACGGGGGCCCGCACAAGCGGUGGAGCAUGUGGUUUAAUUCGAUGCAACGCGAAGAACCUUACCUGGUCUUGACAUAGUGAGAAUCCUGCAGAGAUGCGGGAGUGCCUUCGGGAAUUCACAUACAGGUGCUGCAUGGCUGUCGUCAGCUCGUGUCGUGAGAUGUUGGGUUAAGUCCCGCAACGAGCGCAACCCUUUUCCUUAUUUGCCAGCGGGUUAAGCCGGGAACUUUAAGGAUACUGCCAGUGACAAACUGGAGGAAGGCGGGGACGACGUCAAGUCAUCAUGGCCCUUACGACCAGGGCUACACACGUGCUACAAUGGUAGGUACAGAGGGUUGCUACACAGCGAUGUGAUGCUAAUCUCAAAAAGCCUAUCGUAGUCCGGAUUGGAGUCUGCAACUCGACUCCAUGAAGUCGGAAUCGCUAGUAAUCGCAGAUCAGAAUGCUGCGGUGAAUACGUUCCCGGGCCU